This 233-nucleotide small RNA is filed under the name Pteropus vampyrus (large flying fox). RNAcentral describes it as "7SK RNA (ENSPVAG00000028374.1)". Lineage: Eukaryota; Metazoa; Chordata; Mammalia; Chiroptera; Pteropodidae. The record is from RNAcentral.
ACAGCAGGGGGUGUCUGAUAGGGACAUCUGUUGCCUAGUCACAGCAGGGUGGAUGUCUCCAAUCUGGCUGGUUGGACAGAUGUCCCUGCCUCUGCUCUGUGCGGACACAUUCUAAAGCCACAUGCUUCAGGAGGACAACCUCUGCUGAUGGCCAUGACGUGUCCUCAGUCAAGGGUAUAUACGAGGACAAGGAAUAGAUUUUCAUUUAUCUUGAAAGCCAAGUGCUUAAAGAG